CCGGCAUCGCGUUUGAUGCCUUUGCUUUGUUUCUGUUUAUACAAACUUUUUAAUUUUGUAUUAUAGCUUCAUUUGAAACAUAGUACAAGUACGUAAAUAUAAUACCUAGACGUGUCUUGCUUGGUGCAGUUACGUAGGUAUGCUAAAAGGAACGUUGGAAGACCGAUGCGGCGCUUUAAAGACUGUGCUAAGCGAGACAUGUCUGCAUUUGAAAUCGACCACCAUACCUUAGCUAAAGACCGUGAUGGAUGGCGCAAGCGUGUAGUGGAGGGGAGAAGAUUAUGCGACCAAGCCUGGUUUAAGAUAGCAGAUAGCAGAAGGUGUCGCAGAAAGAAAGGACUGGAACCUCAGGUGGCAUGAGCUUUCUCUGCCCAAAAUGUGGGAGGUCGUGCCGCUCACGCAUCGGCCUCCACAGUCACCAAACCCGUUGUCUAAACAGCAAUGAAUAAAUCGUCUACAAUAGACGGAAAGACCCGUGAUGAUGACGUGAAUUGCCGAUGUAGUAACGGAACACUACUAAUCCUAAAAUCUACAUAUUAAUCUGACAGUGUCUACUGUUUGCCACUUCAGGACCCAGCCUCUAGCCACUAGAAGUAGCAAUGUAUGCAACAAGAGAGUGAAGAUGAAAUAGUCAAUGCAUCUCUGUACCACAAGUAAAAUAUUUUGAGUGGAAGAUGGUUGAGAUUGAUUCCUGUAUCGACGGACAGACACAUGCUAUGAAGAUUCUCUUAAAAAUAAUAAAAUACAAUUAAUAAAUUCAAUGUUUAACAUGA
This is a long non-coding RNA of Cydia splendana, 773 nucleotides long. RefSeq lists it as uncharacterized. NCBI's taxonomy places the organism in Eukaryota, Metazoa, Arthropoda, Insecta, Lepidoptera, Tortricidae. The transcript is spliced from 2 exons. The record is from RefSeq and is a predicted model, not a curated record.